RNAcentral lists this ribosomal RNA (106 nucleotides) under uncultured bacterium. RNAcentral describes it as "partial 16S ribosomal RNA". It matches the Rfam family "Bacterial small subunit ribosomal RNA", at positions 1377 to 1482 of the family's 1533-position model. The record is from RNAcentral.
CCCGUUGUACACACCGCCCGUCACGGCAUGGGAGUUGGUUUUACCCGAAGACGGUGCGCUAACCGCAAGGAGGCAGCCGGCCACGGUAGGAUCAGCGACUGGGCCG